GACGAACGCUGGCGGCGUGCCUAGUACAUGCAAGUUGAGCGAUGAAGAUUGGUGCUUGCCCCAAUUUGAAGAGCAGCGAACGGGUGAGUAACGCGUGGGGAAUCUGCCUUUGAGCGGGGGACAACAUUUGGAAACGAAUGCUAAUACCGCAUAACAACUUUAAACAUAAGUUUUAAGUUUGAAAGAUGCAAUUGCAUCACUCAAAGAUGAUCCCGCGUUGUAUUAGCUAGUUGGUGAGGUAAAGGCUCACCAAGGCGAUGAUACAUAGCCGACCUGAGAGGGUGAUCGGCCACAUUGGGACUGAGACACGGCCCAAACUCCUACGGGAGGCAGCAGUAGGGAAUCUUCGGCAAUGGACGAAAGUCUGACCGAGCAACGCCGCGUGAGUGAAGAAGGUUUUCGGAUCGUAAAACUCUGUUGGUAGAGAAGAACGUUGGUGAGAGUGGAAAGCUCAUCAAGUGACGGUAACUACCCAGAAAGGGACGGCUAACUACGUG
This 497-nucleotide ribosomal RNA is filed under the name uncultured bacterium. Its description in RNAcentral is "partial 16S ribosomal RNA". It matches the Rfam family "Bacterial small subunit ribosomal RNA", at positions 28 to 507 of the family's 1533-position model. The record is from RNAcentral.